GCCAGCAAGGCUCAGCUAGGGAGGUGUUUCCUGACAGCAAAACAACAGUUGGUCUUUUUGAUGUGUGGACACUAGACUACCCAAGAUCCAACCUGAUCUAGCUUCCUCAUGUCAAAACCACCAAGGGCCACUCUGGUGUUUUCAGAAAGCUCCAGAGUGAUCUAUGGUUCUUCCUGUGAUAGAUUAAAGGCUGGAAGAAGUGAUUCUGUUGCAAGACUGGCAUUACAUCAUCUGGACUGAUCCCAGCAGGUGAAAGAAAAAGGCCAUGAAGUCCAACUUUUCAACAACUUUGCAACAACAGCAAAUCCCUCAGUUAACCAAAAUGGGAGUAAUACAAGAAACCACAAAAACGAAAAACAUAUCACCCUCUUGUAUAUAUAACAGCAAGACCAAAAAUAAAUAAACACAUAUUUUGAAA
Molecule: long non-coding RNA, 418 nt
Organism: Anolis carolinensis (green anole)
Lineage: Eukaryota; Metazoa; Chordata; Lepidosauria; Squamata; Anolidae
Exons: 2
Source: RefSeq, a predicted model, not a curated record